GGAUUCCGUAGGUGAACCUGCGGAAGGAUCAUUA
RNAcentral lists this ribosomal RNA (34 nucleotides) under Penicillium sacculum. RNAcentral's name for it is "partial 18S ribosomal RNA". The record is from RNAcentral. Lineage: Eukaryota; Fungi; Ascomycota; Eurotiomycetes; Eurotiales; Aspergillaceae.